CCUACGGGUGGCAGCAGUGAGGAAUUUUGCGCAAUGGCCGCAAGGCUGACGCAGCAACGCCGCGUGGGUGAUGAAGGCCUUCGGGUCGUAAAGCCCUGUCAGGUGGGAAGAAAGGUUUCAAGGAGCAACACUUGGGAUUUGACGGUACCACCAGAGGAAGCACCGGCUAACUCCGUGCCAGCAGCCGCGGUAAUACGGAGGGUGCGAGCGUUAUUCGGCAUUACUGGGGGUGAAGAACGAAUAGGCGUGUGAAAGCCCUGGGCUUAACCUGGGAAGGGCAUUGGAAACUGUUUUUCUUGAGUACUGGAGAGGAAGGGGGAAUUCCCGGUGUAGAGGUGAAAUUCGUAGAGAUCGGGAGGAAUACCAGUGGCGUAGGCGCCCUUCUGGACGGUAACUGACGCUGAGACGCGAAAGCGUGGGGAGCAAACAGGAUUAGAUACCCUAGUAGUC
Molecule: ribosomal RNA, 450 nt
Filed under: uncultured bacterium
Lineage: Bacteria
Description: partial 16S ribosomal RNA
Rfam family: Bacterial small subunit ribosomal RNA
Source: RNAcentral